Molecule: ribosomal RNA, 365 nt
Filed under: uncultured beta proteobacterium
Lineage: Bacteria; Pseudomonadati; Pseudomonadota; Betaproteobacteria
Description: bacterial SSU rRNA
Rfam family: Bacterial small subunit ribosomal RNA
Source: RNAcentral
CCUGGCGAAAGCCAGGUUAAUACCGCAUACGUCCUGAGGGAGAAAGCGGGGGAUCGCAAGACCUCGCGUUAUAGGAGCGGCCGAUGUCGGAUUAGCUAGUUGGUGGGGUAAAGGCCUACCAAGGCGACGAUCUGUAGCGGGUCUGAGAGGACGGCCCGCCACACUGGGACUGAGACACGGCCCAGACUCCUACGGGAGGCAGCAGUGGGGAAUUUUGGACAAUGGGGGCAACCCUGAUCCAGCCAUUCCGCGUGAGUGAAGAAGGCCUUCGGGUUGUAAAGCUCUUUCGGCCGGGAAGAAAUCGUGCGGGCCAAUACCCUGUAUGGAUGACGGUACCGGAAGAAGAAGCACCGGCUAACUACGUG